Molecule: ribosomal RNA, 18 nt
Filed under: Trichoderma virens
Lineage: Eukaryota; Fungi; Ascomycota; Sordariomycetes; Hypocreales; Hypocreaceae
Also listed under: 4 other names
Description: partial 28S ribosomal RNA
Source: RNAcentral
GUGACCUCGGAUCAGGUA